AAACUAGUUUCGCGAGUCAGAGCCUCGUACACCCGCUCGGGUAGGCGGCCGGGUGCAUUUGCACCGCACAGUCCAGGAUCUCUGGGUUCCUGGCUACUAAUUGCACUCACGGUCCCCAGGCCAGACUCGAGGCUCGAAAGGCUGGCGAGGAAGCGACUAGCGCAGCAAGAAGCUGUGCCCGCUGCCACUUGGGGCCUUUGGCCCGUGGGCGCAGAAAUUAACCCGGGUAGGUGACGAGCUGUGGCUCAGACCCGGGGAGUCGGAGACGCGCUUUUCCCGGGGCCCGAGUGAGCAGGCAAAGACUGGGUGAUUUCCUGCAGGCUUUUGUGUUUUCGAUGCUCGGGAAGCGGGAGCCGGACGAAGGACUUUCACGUUAGGGAAGGCCGUGGGCACCCAGACAGAUCCGGGUUGGCUCUGGAGAGCAAGUCCUUGGGGGCGGGGAGGGGAGUGCGCGCCGCAAACCCAGGGAAAACGCCGAGGAGGCCCGCGGAUGAAUAGACAAUGCUGUCCUUGGAACAAAGCACAACAAUAAGGCCUUUGCAUUUAUAAAUCGCGCGCCGGCGGCGGCCUCCGGGAGCCCCGCGGGAGGCGGCGAACGGCGGCGGAGCGCGGGCGAGGCUCCGCACCUCCCAGGACCCCGCCAUUCCUGGAUUUUAGUUUGGAUCAGGAAAGCAAACCAUGUUGCAGAGGCCCAGGAAUGUCAGUUAGCAAAAGGAAACACAUCUUUCAUUCAGCCAGCCACCCCCUGCAAGACCUUUCUUCCCUUUCUCUCUACCUUCUUCAUCUCCUCUCUCUCUCUUUUCUCCCCCUUUUUCCCUUUUUUUCUUUCCUAGGCUUUGAUCUUGACAAUGAGAAGAUUCACAGAGUCUACAGAUCUGUACCUGAGACCACGAUUAUUUUCAAGACUGAUUGUUCAAAUGACAACAGUAUUUCAACAACGACCCGAGUCCCAAAGAGUUCAAGCCUCUCUCCCUUUCUGCUCCUGUUGCCACCACGGCAGCAAAGGAGAAGCCCAGCGCCUGUGCCCCUUGGCGUCUGACCCCAGGCUGACUUGGCCACACUGCCAUUUGCCUCCUUCAUGCUGAUACACCUGGAUGUCUGCAGAGCUGGUAAAUAUUUGCCCACACAGGAGAGAGCAAAUGGCGGUUUUUGUACAAGGGAGGUGAUGAGGCAGCUCGUCCCCCUGGGUCAAUAGUGCGAAACCAACAAUGGCAAUGUGCAAUGGUGACACGCUAUCUGUUAGCUUCAGAGAAGGGAGCUACCGAUGGCCGUGACCUCCAGACUCCACGGCUGCAACCUUCCAAGCAGCAAGAGCAGAGGUCUGUUCUCUGCCCUGGAUGUCAGCUCUUCACUGCACUCUGUUGCUCUCCACCUCCUGGCACAGCUGAACUUCAAGAUCACUGCAGUGACAUUUCAAAUUUCCCCAGAGGGUUUAGAAAUUAAUUGUGUCCAUUGCGGGGCGCCUGGCUGGUUCAGUCCAUAGAGCAUGCGACUUUUGAUCCCUGGGCUGUGAGUUCGAGCCCCACUUUGGGUGUAGAGAUUACCUAAAAAUAAAAUCUUUAAAAAUAAUAAUAAAAUAAAUGUG
Mirounga angustirostris (Northern elephant seal) is the source of this 1585-nucleotide long non-coding RNA. RefSeq lists it as uncharacterized. The transcript is spliced from 2 exons. Lineage: Eukaryota; Metazoa; Chordata; Mammalia; Carnivora; Phocidae. The record is from RefSeq and is a predicted model, not a curated record.